This 81-nucleotide transfer RNA is filed under the name Caldibacillus debilis GB1. It matches the Rfam family "tRNA". From Rfam's summary of the family: Transfer RNA (tRNA) molecules are approximately 80 nucleotides in length. Their secondary structure includes four short double-helical elements and three loops (D, anti-codon, and T loops). Further hydrogen bonds mediate the characteristic L-shaped molecular structure. tRNAs have two regions of fundamental functional importance: the anti-codon, which is responsible for specific mRNA codon recognition, and the 3' end, to which the tRNAs corresponding amino acid is attached (by aminoacyl-tRNA synthetases). tRNAs cope with the degeneracy of the genetic code in two manners: having more than one tRNA (with a specific anti-codon) for a particular amino acid; and 'wobble' base-pairing, i.e. permitting non-standard base-pairing at the 3rd anti-codon position. Lineage: Bacteria; Bacillati; Bacillota; Bacilli; Caryophanales; Bacillaceae. The record is from Rfam by way of RNAcentral.
GCGGAUAUGGCGGAAUGGCAGACGCAACGGACUUAAAAUCCGUUACCUCCAGGUGUGAGGGUUCGAAUCCCUCUAUCCGCA